GUACAAUAGUACAUCCUGAAACUCAAGGCCCUUGCAUUCCAUUAUGGUCAAAACAAGAGCUUGCUUCCCAACAUAAUUGCAAGUUUCUUUCCUAGCUGAAUCAUCCCUUACUAAUAUGACUUGCUCAGCUCCAAACCCAACAAAACUUCCUCCCAUAUUCCCAUUGUUCCCAAAUAUAGAAACAAUUGCAUUUUCAUCAUUCCCAGAUUCAAUCAGAAUAGGGGCUUCCCCAAAUAUUUGACUAGUUUCAUGAUCUAAAACAUCAAUAAAUGGUCGGAAAAACCGGUAAAGGAGGUCAAUAACACUCUGAGCUAACUUGAGAACACCAGCAUGGGUUCGAAAGUUCUGUUUCAAAUGAAAAAUUUUAGAUAACUGACCUUUCUCCUUCAUUCUUUCAUUACCUUCACUUCUGGAUCCUAAAACAAAUUCAUUAUAAAACAGAGAUCUGAUAUCUUCAAACCUAAAAUCAAUCCCUCUGGCAAUAGUUUGUGCUGUGUCACCAGAAAAUACAAAGCCCUCACUCACAUUUUUGCUGAUGUGUUUGAAAAGUGCAACCUGCCUCAUUGUAAGAUCUUGAACUUCAUCAAUAUAAACAAAAUCCAUCAUAUUUCCCAAAUAAUUUUCAUUUUUAAGCCGAUGAUGGAGAUCAUUAACUAGAUCAGCCAAAUCAAAAUCACCAUUUUCUUUCUUCAUUUUUUCAUAAUCUUCAAAUGCAUCAUAUAUUGUUUCUCUCUGCUUCUUACUUAAAGUGGAUAUCCGACCCUCAGACAACAUAAUAUAGUCCCCCCGGCUGAGUCUACCAUCAGAAGACUCCCCUGCUUUCAAGCCUCCUUUUAUUUGAGACAUUAUCUCUGUAAAGACUCUAGAAGAGUCCAGCUUUUUAGUGAACUUUGCAUUAAAAUGCGGCCAGUAAUUUGAACAAAACUUCUCAUAGUUAACCUCCCUUGUUCUUAUAAAAGUUUGCAUUGCAAUAGAGCCUGAACUUCCCAUUUUACCAUGCAAAAGCUGUCUCAAACCAGGAAACUUUUCAAAGUAAGAAUUACCAAUUGUUCCAUCAAGCAUCAUCAAAAAUUUAUUGAAAGUUAUGACAAGAGGGUACAACUCUGGAGGAAUAUCAAUUAAAGAAUCUGGGAUGUCUUUGAAUUGUGCAGCAUCAUCAAUAUUCUCCCUAUCAGCUGGAAUAUGACCCGCAGAAUAUUUUCCACCAGAGGCAAAUCUUUUUAGUUGAGAAACUUGGUGUUUGACAGCAUAACACAGUUUAGGACUAACAGUCACAAAAAGCUGGCGCAAAACAGCAUUCUUAGCCUCACCAUCACUGUUUUCAACAUUUUUUAUAUCAUCAUCAACAUCGAUUCUCUGGAAUGCAUCCUUGGAGGUAUUGUCACUCUCUUCACCAUAACCUUCAACAGCCUUAUGGAAAAGUUGCUCUUUCUUAAAUAAUUUCAUUGUUAAAACAGUUGUUUUUCCAGUGCCAGAUCGACCCAAUAUAAAUGAACUUUUUUGGAAUAGAAUUAUUUCCCGUUCUUCAUCUGUUACUUCAAAAGGGAGCUCUAGUUCAAGACCAUCAGGAUCAGAAAGCAAGUGGCUUACAACUACACGGGAUAAGGGGUAGAAUUUCAUUAGCAACAAGCUGUCACUCACUUUUGAGUUCUCCACAUAACAUUUAUCAUUAGAACUCAGAUUGCUUCCCCCUUCAUUGUUGACAAGACUCUUAAACUGGACAAUAUCAAAAGAAGUUGACCAAGUUUUGGGAACUUCCAAACCUCCUUCUAGAAAUUUCUCAUUGCAACGACUGAUAAAAUCAUCCGUAUAUCUUUGAAAGAUGCCAUUGAGACGUUUGACCAAUCUUGGAAUCUCUUCUACUGGCAAUAUGUCCCAAACCUUCAAAACUUGAGUGUACCUUUGCUCCUUCUGUAUGUCAAUUGAACAUAUUACAUACAAUCCUUCAACCUUGAAUUGUUUCAAGAUAUUUAAAGAGUCACAAAUAAAAUCCACAUUCCUCUUCUUAGGGCGCCAGCCACUGGAAAGUCUAAGAAGAAGGUUCAGAGUAGAUGUCUUUGUCCGAAUGGAUGCCAGCUUUCCAAAUGAUCUUUUAAAGUUUUCACUGAAAAGAACCUUCCACCUAGCACUUUUGAAAAAUACACUAUCUCCAUUGAGCAAAUCAUCAAGUUGAUCAAAC
This 2179-nucleotide unclassified non-coding RNA is filed under the name Hevea brasiliensis (rubber tree). The record is from RNAcentral. Lineage: Eukaryota; Viridiplantae; Streptophyta; Magnoliopsida; Malpighiales; Euphorbiaceae.